AUCCUCCAAGGCUAAAUACUCCUGAUUGACCGAUAGUGAACCAGUACCGUGAGGGAAAGGCGAAAAGAACCCCGGCGAGGGGAGUGAAAAAGAACCUGAAACCGUGUACGUACAAGCAGUAGGAGCCCCAUCACUCAAGUGCCUCGCACUGAGUGAUGCAAGAACAUCACCGAAAAUAGCGCCGAAUUUGCUAACAAGGUUGGUCGAUUUUUUCAAGCCGUCGCGCAGUGUACCUAGAAGUACACGAGCAACGGAAGUUAAAAAAUCGGGCAAGAUUGAACGCAAAGGCAAGCGGGACAUUUGAGGAUGGGGUGACUGCGUACCUUUUGUAUAAUGGGUCAGCGACUUAUAUUCUGUAGCAAGGUUAACCGCAUAGGGGAGCCGUAGGGAAACCGAGUCUUAACUGGGCGAAUGAGUUGCAGGGUAUAGACCCGAAACCCGGUGAUCUAUCCAUGGGCAGGUUGAAGGUUGGGUAACACUAACUGGAGGACCGAACCGA
Molecule: ribosomal RNA, 499 nt
Filed under: Proteus mirabilis
Lineage: Bacteria; Pseudomonadati; Pseudomonadota; Gammaproteobacteria; Enterobacterales; Morganellaceae
Description: partial 23S ribosomal RNA
Rfam family: Bacterial large subunit ribosomal RNA
Source: RNAcentral